AACGAACGCUGGCGGCAGGCUUAACACAUGCAAGUCGAACGCACCUUUCGGGGUGAGUGGCAGACGGGUGAGUAACGCGUGGGAAUCUACCCUUCUCUACGGGAUAGCUCCGGGAAACUGGAAUUAAUACCGUAUACGUCCUGAGGGAGAAAGAUUUAUCGGGGAAGGAUGAGCCCGCGUUGGUUUAGCUGGUUGGUGGGGUAAAGGCCUACCACGGCGACGAUCCAUAGCUGGUCAAAGAGGAAGAUCAGCCACAUUGGGACUGAGACACGGCCCAAACUCCUACGGGAGGCAGCAGUGGGUAAUAUUGGACAAUGGGCGCAAUCCUGAUCCAGCCAGGCCGCGUGAGUGAUGAAGGCCCUAGGGUUGUAAAGCUCUUUCAGUGGGGACGAUAAUGACGGUACCCACAGAAGAAGCCCCGGCUAACUUCGUG
Molecule: ribosomal RNA, 433 nt
Filed under: uncultured bacterium
Lineage: Bacteria
Description: partial 16S ribosomal RNA
Rfam family: Bacterial small subunit ribosomal RNA
Source: RNAcentral